Molecule: long non-coding RNA, 4474 nt
Filed under: Equus asinus (donkey)
Lineage: Eukaryota; Metazoa; Chordata; Mammalia; Perissodactyla; Equidae
Description: lncRNA (ENSEASG00005030598.1)
Source: RNAcentral
AAGUCGCAUCAGAUUCAUUGAAGGGGAAUCUUGUUAGCAGUAUAUGAAUUAUUGCAAAGCACUAGACAAAAUCUACAUCUCAGUUUCUUUGUGUUCAAAAAUUAAAUGGCUAUGAUUAUUGGAUUAGGAAAUGAUUGAAUAUUGAUCCUUUUUCAUGUGCUAAGCGAUAAAUUGAGGCAUAUUAAAAAUUUUGAGUUUAUUUAAACAAAAAUAAUUUCCCCUCUGCCUUUUAUAGUGAGUGCCUGUGUGAGGGCCCUUUUUCUCCAGGGCAUCUCCUAAAUGGAUAAGCUUAUCUAACAUGGUUAAAAGUUCUCCCCUGUGGCCACUGUAAUGCAAGAUCAUCUUUGGUAACGUUAACUUGCUUGUUCAGCCUUAAAACAAAAUUUUAUUUAUCCAAGCCCUCACGCUGGACCCAGUUAGUUUUUAAGUCAGACCCAGUCCAACUCUGGCCAGUUUCUGGACCAGCCUGGAAAAAAAAAUGCUCAAAUAACGUCUGAAAAAUAAUAAGGCAAAAGCUUUGGGGCUGGGAUUCAGGAUCCGAGAGGAAUUUACCCACAACCUGCAGAGGCAGUGAGCUCAAGGGGCUCAACAGGAGCCUACCCCAGGUUUUUUUUUUUGAGAAAUGAUAAAUUUGCUCAUUUCUCCUUGGGGUUGUUAGGAGUCUCUUUGUGUUCCUUCUUCUGACCCAGAACUGUUAAAAGAUAAACUGAGGCUUAUUAAAAAUUUUAAUAAUUUAUUUGAGCAAAAAUAGAUUUGAAUCAGACAGCAUCCAAUCUAGUGGGUAGAAAGGAGCUCCGAGGCAGAAGGGAGCAGGAACAAUGAAGUUAUACUGGCAAAAACGUGGGUUGGUUAUUGCAAAGUUACUUUCCUUUGGAGGAUGGUGGGGGUCCAUCAGGUCACUCGUUAUUCAUUGGUUUAAGAUUCCACUUCUGGGAGAGCCAAAACUGUAAUCAAGUCUUGGUUUGGUGUUGUGGGGCUUAGCAUAAGCAACUCCAUUUUAGACUUGUCUUUUUUAAGACAUGCUGUUAAUUUUCCUCAGAAACUUGGUGAUCACCCCUUAAAAUUUGUUACCACGAAAAAUUAAGUUGAUGAGAAUAGCUGGCUUGGGUGGUUUUCCUUUGCAGAUGUGGAGAUCUGUUUUCCUAACAGCUCAUUCCUUUCAAUGGAAGGACCAAUGGGUGUUUGUUGAAAGUGGGCACAGGUGUGGAUAGAUGACGGGGGAGCCAGGCUGUGGAUCCCCACAACAGCGCAUAUAAAGGCCCUUCUCAUCUGCAGGGAGAGCACUUGCUUGCAUCUUAUUCCUGAGUCGAGCUGCCUUCUACAUUUUUGUUACAUACGUCAAGUCUGGAGUUUCUUCAAACUUUGCUCCUUUAUCUUGACUUGAUCACCUGUACUACUAGUUUGCUAACUAGACAAACCACUUUCUUUUGAGAGUGGUUCUCGAGUUGUACUCAAGAAGUUAAAGCUUCUCUCUGUUCUUCACAUAACCUGGGAAGGAGGAGAGGCAGCACCCACCUGGCCAGCUUUCAUGAAAAAGGUUAUUAAGUAAUUACCCUCUUGCCGGUUCUGAGGUCCACACCUGAUCCUUAUAUUUGUUGCUUCUCUGCUGAAGUUUGUCCAGAGCUCUUUGGGGAAGGACCACUCUUCCUUCUACUGUCUUGAGUGAGUGUUUCUCCUGGUUUUUAUUUUUUCCAUCAGUCUGUUUUCUAUUGUACUGGAUUCUUGUUGUUCUACUUCAUGUUUUCCAGCCUCGUUAUGAUUUUCUGCUUCCCUUUAUAUUUCCUUUUUGAUCUUUCAGUGGGACCUUAAGAAAUACAGAAGCUGUGUCAAAAGUUGAGAAAUAGCGGAAGUAAAACUGCUGAAUCACCAAGACAUUACUUAGCAAAAUUGAUUGUGCACACACCAAAAAGACUCAAAGAAAUGCGGAAGGAGGCUCCCGGUAUAUUGUUCCAAAGCAGCUGAUAGAGUGAGGAGUUGCAGGUGGUGUUGAUGCUGCUGGUCCGGGGAACACACUUGGAGAAGCACUGGCAUGGAAUGUUUUCCCUGGUCUGACCAAGGCUGCCCUAAUCUUGGACCAUUUCCUCAUGCUCAGGCUUUUGCAUUACUACCUAUGGUGGCCAUUUGUUUUUGGUAUCCUGCCAAGAUCAGCAUCACCCGAGCUAGGCCCGUAAGAUGCUUUUUCCCAGGAUUUGAAUCUUGAACAGAGUUGCACAAAAUAUUGAAACAGAUUACAGCUCAUUCAAUCCUGCAUUUCCAUGGUGAGAGUGAAGAUGAGUUCUUGGUAUCCAACAUCCAGAAUUGCUGUUAUCCAUGUCCUUUUUUUGAGACUAAUUCUUCAGGCUUCCAAAAAAUUGAUUGAUUUCUAAUAUUUACUUUCAGUUUAUUUGCUGUUUGCUUAAAUUAUUUAGUGUUGUUUUCUCUUGCUUGCAACUAAUUUUAACAGAAAUGGAAAUUUGUACCAUCGUGGGAUUUUGAAAGUGACAGAAUAUAAAACAUGAAUUUGGCUGAGUUGAGGUUAUACGGAGGGUUAGGGAGUUGGAAAUUCUUAUUAUACGAGAGCAACAUAGCUGCUUAAAUUGUUCUGUGUCAUAUCUUGGGCUUGUAUCACGUCGUUUUUGAGGUUAGGGACUUUAGAGUGCUUUUAGAUUGGGAAAUUUUUUUCCUUAUCAUUUUCAUCUUAGUUCCUUUAACAGACUCUGAUUUCCAUUUGGGGAAUCCAUGCCUUCCCCAGUCUCAAUCCUUCUGGUUUGAAUGAGGUUUCAUCCUUUUCCAGGAGCAAAGUGUGUGGUCCAGCUCGAGCCAAUUAGUGCCUGAAACCUUUGGACACAGUGUGUGUUUCAGGGUUAGGUACAGUUACAGCUGACUCUAGGGCUUCCAUUUGAGGCACUUGUCCUGCCAGACUUGCAUAUGAUAUCAUCUGUAGUUGGAGAUUCUAUAGACUUUUUGCUGCCACAUGGAAAUUGAUCUAAGUCAACAUGCGAAGAAUAGCAAAGCAGAACUCAAUGAUAGAGAAAUCUAAUCUUUAUAAUAUUAUUUGAGCCCUUAAAUCCAUGAAGCCAGCACUAUCACAAAAUUUUUCAGAUGCAUGAGCCAAUAAAUUCUCCAGAUUUCAUAGGUUUUUCUGUCUCUUGAAAUCGAAGUAUCUUAAAUGAUACAUUACGUAACCACAUUCACGGAAGAUUUGGGGACAAUUUCAUAAUUUCUCUGUUUAGUCCAAGUGUUGCCAUAAUUGUAGGAGACAUUAAGAGAGAUUGGCUAGAACUUUUUGUCCUUUAGAAAUACUAUAACCUCAGAAAUGGGAAGUGUUAAAAGUCCAUUAUAUUAGCAUAAGCUUCCCAACAUUUCCUGUCUCCAUAUGAUAUUUGACUUUAUGGAGGUUUUUGCUCAUUAGGGGCUUUAUCUCCAAGUCAUAUCCUUCUCUUUCCUUUUGUUCACCCACACAGAUCCAUGAUUCCAUUUCUUCUGUGAUCUGAACUAUGUUUUUGUCAAUUGCCUUGGAAACCACUUUUUACUGCAUAGUCCAGUUAAACUAUAACUUUGGAGAAAUAAAACGAUUCUCAUUCUCUGCUCUGAUAGUUCAGCCCCUAGGUGAUUGAGUUCUGUUUAGCUGACACACUUCUCCCUACAGAUCAAAUUCUUGACUCAGAUUGGUCCUUCCUGAGCCUUUGGUAAGAUCCACCUCCUAUUCGCGUGAACAACUAUCCCAAAUUUUUGCCUUGCUCUUCAAAACACCAACUCAAUCCCUGCUCCCUUCGGCCUCAGCAGAUGACCUUUCUUCCUACUUCAGGGAGAAUAUUAGGGCCUUCAGUAAUAAUCUUGCUUCUUUUCUACUCCCUACAUUUAAUCUUAUUUCUUUCAUCUCAUAUCUUACCUCCGUUAUAUCAAGAUCAGAGUGUGAGCUACAUCUCUUCCCAUUUAAAACCUUGAGCCCUCUUCCAACCUUCUAUAGAAUCUUUCUCUCUUAUUUGUCCCCUCUCUUAUGUACUUCCUCCCGGCACUUCCUCUCGGGCUGUAAACAUGCUUACAAGCCACUAUCCGUAAUUAGAGGUGGGACUGAGGAAGUGGAAUGGGAGCCAGUCACUCAAGGCUGUGUAUGUGAUAUUUAGGAGGUUAUACCUUUUUAGGGGAUGGAAGGCCACCAAAGGGAUUCAAGCAGGGGCAUGACAUGGUCAUAUUAGCUUUUUAGAUAGAUGACUGUUUGCUGCGUGAAUGAUGGAUUGUAGAGGUGUAAAUAGAAGCCAAAAGUGUAAAUAGUGUUCCUAAAAUGUGUUCUGCAAAAGACUAGAUGCUCUUAAAUGUUACUAGAUUUUCCUCAAAAAAAGUGGUUUAUAGACAAGUAAAUAUGACAACUUUGGCUAAAAUAAAUAAAUCUCUUUCUUUCAAGGCUUCUAAGUUUAAAUCCAUACUUUAAUUAACUCAGUCUCUUUAACCAGAAUACUCUUUAUUUCCAAACAAUUAUAAACAGGUAGACCAU